Molecule: transfer RNA, 85 nt
Filed under: Candidatus Omnitrophota bacterium
Lineage: Bacteria; Pseudomonadati; Candidatus Omnitrophota
Description: tRNA-Leu
Rfam family: tRNA
About the family: Transfer RNA (tRNA) molecules are approximately 80 nucleotides in length. Their secondary structure includes four short double-helical elements and three loops (D, anti-codon, and T loops).
Source: RNAcentral
GCCGGGAUGGCGGAAUGGCAGACGCAACGGACUUAAAAUCCGUUGGGAAGUAAUUCCCGUGAGGGUUCGAAUCCCUCUCCCGGCA